Molecule: transfer RNA, 66 nt
Filed under: Parantica aglea (glassy tiger)
Lineage: Eukaryota; Metazoa; Arthropoda; Insecta; Lepidoptera; Nymphalidae
Description: tRNA-Asp
Source: RNAcentral
GAAUUAGUUAAUAAAUAACAUAAAUAUGUCAAAUUUAAAUUAUUAUAAAAAUAAUAUUCUUUAAUC